Molecule: long non-coding RNA, 1281 nt
Filed under: Anas platyrhynchos platyrhynchos (common mallard)
Lineage: Eukaryota; Metazoa; Chordata; Aves; Anseriformes; Anatidae
Description: lncRNA (ENSAPLG00000023274.1)
Source: RNAcentral
CUGGGGACCUUCAGCCAUCUCCUGGUGGCCCUCGGAUGUCCCCGUGCCACCCCCUGUGUCCCCAUGGUGUCCCCAGGCCAUCCCACAUGUCCCCGUGGUGUCCCCAUCAUGUCCCCUCACCUCCCCGUCCCCGCAGGAGGUGGACAUUGGGCUGGCGGCUGACGUGGGGACCCUGCAGCGCCUCCCGAAGAUCGUGGGCAACCAGAGCCUCGUCAACGAGCUGGCCUUCACCGCCCGCAAGAUGAUGGCCCCCGAGGCGUGGAGCUGCGGCCUGGUGAGCCGCGUGUUCCCGGACCGGGCGGCGUUGCUGCAGGGCGCCCUGGAGCUGGCGGCCUCCAUCGCGGCGCGCAGCCCGGUGGCCGUGCAGGGCACCAAGGUGAACCUGCUGUACUCGCGGGACCACCCCGUCCCCGAAGGGCUCCGCCCCAUGGCCGCCUGGAACAUGAGCAUGCUGCAGACCGACGACAUCCUCAAGUCGGCGCAGGCGGCCAUGGAGAAGAAGCGCCCCGAGGACGUCGCCUACGCCAAGCUGUAGGGGCGGCUGUGGGGUCGGCGCGGCCCCCACCCCAUAAUAAACCCGGCUGCGCCCCCGGCCCGUGUCCUUCCUCGGCCCCGAGGGGUGCUGCAGUGGGGUCCUGUGGGGUGGAUGGGGGCGCAGAGAGGGUGGAUAGGGACAGGGUGACCCAGUGGGACAUGGGACGGGGUUAUGGGGCCACAAAUGGGAGGUGUAUGGGGACACUGAGGGGGCUGUGGGGACAGUGCGGGGUUUAUGGGGUCCCAAAGGGGGUUUAUGGGGCACGGAGGUGUUUAUGGAGACAGAUGGGUGGAUUUAGGAUCCCACAGAGGGUGCAGGGGGCUUCAUGGGGCCCCAAAGGGUGGGUACGUGGUGACACGGCCGUGGCUGUUGGGAUUCGGGGCUUUAGCGGGUCCCAAAGGGCAGGGACGUGAUGACAUGGAGCUGUUUGAGGGGAAAAGUGGCGUUUAUUGGGUCCAAAGGCUGGGUUUAUGGCGGCACAGUGGUGUUUACUGGGACGGACUGGUGCUUAUCAGAUCCCAGAAGGGGGUUACGUGGGGACACAGCGGUGCCCCUUGGGAUUUGGGGCCCCCAAUGGGGGUGUAAGGGGGACAGGGAGGCGUUUUUGGGGGGAAUGGGGCAAGGAAGCUGCGUGAGGCCAGGUCUGAGCAAUCUUUUAAUUACAUGAGAAAAAGAGAAACCGGCCGGAGAAUGCUGCGAGGUGAAGAUAAAUUUAUACAAUAAAUCCCGAAAUCCGUCCCUUCGCA